GCCAGGCGCGGUGGCUCACGCCUGUAAUCCCAGCACUUUGGGAGGCCGAGGUGGGUGGAUCACCUGAGGUCAGGACUUUGAGACCAGCCUGACCAACAUGGUGAAACCCCGCCUCUA
Pongo abelii (Sumatran orangutan) is the source of this 117-nucleotide unclassified non-coding RNA. It matches the Rfam family "Metazoan signal recognition particle RNA". From Rfam's summary of the family: The signal recognition particle (SRP) is a universally conserved ribonucleoprotein. Lineage: Eukaryota; Metazoa; Chordata; Mammalia; Primates; Hominidae. The record is from Ensembl.